CGCGGCCUAUCAGCUUGUUGGUGAGGUAAUGGCUCACCAAGGCGACGACGGGUAGCCGGCCUGAGAGGGCGACCGGCCACACUGGGACUGAGACACGGCCCAGACUCCUACGGGAGGCAGCAGUGGGGAAUAUUGCACAAUGGGCGAAAGCCUGAUGCAGCGACGCCGCGUGAGGGAUGACGGCCUUCGGGUUGUAAACCUCUUUCAGCAGGGAAGAAGCGAAAGUGACGGUACCUGCAGAAGAAGCGCCGGCUAACUACGUGCCAGCAGCCGCGGUAAUACGUAGGGCGCAAGCGUUGUCCGGAAUUAUUGGGCGUAAAGAGCUCGUAGGCGGCUUGUCACGUCGGGUGUGAAAGCCCGGGGCUUAACCCCGGGUCUGCAUUCGAUACGGGCUAGCUAGAGUGUGGUAGGGGAGAUCGGAAUUCCUGGUGUAGCGGUGAAAUGCGCAGAUAUCAGGAGGAACACCGGUGGCGAAGGCGGAUCUCUGGGCCAUUACUGACGCUGAGGAGCGAAAGCGUGGGGAGCGAACAGGAUUAGAUACCCUGGUAGUCCACGCCGUAAACGGUGGGAACUAGGUGUUGGCGACAUUCCACGUCGUCGGUGCCGCAGCUAACGCAUUAAGUUCCCCGCCUGGGGAG
RNAcentral lists this ribosomal RNA (638 nucleotides) under uncultured bacterium. RNAcentral's name for it is "bacterial SSU rRNA". It matches the Rfam family "Bacterial small subunit ribosomal RNA", at positions 232 to 880 of the family's 1533-position model. The record is from RNAcentral.